UACGGAGGGUCCAAGCGUUAUCCGGAUUUAUUGGGUUUAAAGGGUCCGCAGGCGGAUUUGUAAGUCAGUGGUGAAAGCCUUCAGCUUAACUGGAGAAUUGCCAUUGAUACUGCUAAUCUUGAGUUCGGUUGAAGUGGGCGGAAUGUGGCAUGUAGCGGUGAAAUGCAUAGAUAUGCCAUAGAACACCAAUUGCGAAGGCA
RNAcentral lists this ribosomal RNA (200 nucleotides) under uncultured bacterium. Its description in RNAcentral is "partial 16S ribosomal RNA". It matches the Rfam family "Bacterial small subunit ribosomal RNA", at positions 524 to 723 of the family's 1533-position model. The record is from RNAcentral.